This 253-nucleotide ribosomal RNA is filed under the name uncultured bacterium. RNAcentral describes it as "partial 16S ribosomal RNA". It matches the Rfam family "Bacterial small subunit ribosomal RNA", at positions 524 to 776 of the family's 1533-position model. The record is from RNAcentral.
GACGUAGGGCGCGAGCGUUGUCCGGAUUUAUUGGGCGUAAAGAGCUCGUAGGCGGCUUGUUGCGUCGACCGUGAAAACCCGGGGCUCAACUUCGGGCUUGCGGUCGAUACGGGCGGGCUAGAGUUCGGUAGGGGAGACUGGAAUUCCUGGUGUAGCGGUGAAAUGCGCAGAUAUCAGGAGGAACACCGGUGGCGAAGGCGGGUCUCUGGGCCGUUACUGACGCUGAGGAGCGAAAGCGUGGGGAGCAAACAGG